Molecule: long non-coding RNA, 5166 nt
Filed under: Homo sapiens (human)
Lineage: Eukaryota; Metazoa; Chordata; Mammalia; Primates; Hominidae
Description: PREDICTED lncRNA (TCONS_00201984)
Source: RNAcentral
GAGCUGGGAGCCUGUUGGCAGGUCCCUCUUUUUAUUUUCGCUGAGAGCUUUCUUUUACUAAAUGCCACCAUCCUUACCUUUCAAGGUGUCUGCGUGCCUAAUUUUUCCUGGUUGUUAGACAAGAACCCGGAUUUUAGUUGAACUCUGGAGCAAAAAUCCUGCAUCAUUUGUCAACAACAAGAGGCCAGGACCUCCCAAGAAAAGCUUUACUAAUGUAAUAGCUUUGGCCAAGUCCACCCAAUAUAUUUUCCUCUCUGCAAAGAGAAACAAGCUAUUGUCUCAUCUUAGGUUUCAUCUUCUUCCAUGCCACUGUUAUUCAUGUUCAAAUCCUGGCUGUCCUUCAGGGUCCAAUUCAAAUGAUUAUCGCCAUUUUCUAUUAAUGUCAUUUCUUCCUAUUUUCUACCUUUUGUUAGCUAUGUUAAAGUGUUUCUUUACCAACAUCCCCCAUAUAUUGUGUAACACAGUGUCUAUGGCUUACUCAUUUUUGAAUCCUUAUCAUGACCUGACAUAAUGAAGAUUCUUAGUACAUAGUGAUACAUGUAAAUAUGAGUUAAUUAGUACAUGAUAGACUUGAUUUCCAGAAUGAUUUUGUAUAGUUGAAUUGUGUAGUAAGGGGACACAUGUGAAAUGAAGACUUUAGUCAGUAUCAAGAAGAUAUUUUGGGUGACUUCACAUAUCUGCCAAUGAUAAAUCUAGAAACAAUAGGUGCUUGGGUAGGUGAUUUCCUUUUGCCUUCUUUAUCAUUGUUUUCCCAGUAUUUCUUACAUUCAUCUAAUUUCAUUAGAUGCCCAUAUACUUUAUACUGGCUCUUCCUGUGAGGUUCGAACUGGUCCAGUCCAUUUGUUUUCAGAAUUGAUUCAUCUGGAGAGUCAUCUCCUAUCCUCCCAAACAAUGAUAUACCAGUCUGAGGACUGUGUAGAAGGGACUUCUCUUUCUACUCAGUAUGACCAAAAUAAUUCAAUUCUAGUUGUGGUGUGUGAUUUAUGAAUAUUUUGUCCUUUAGUUUGUGUGAGCCAAUUUUGUGCCAUAAGAAUUUUAGCCUCCUUUUCCACAAAAGAGUGAUUUAAUCAAACAAAAGUUGACAAUCAAUGUAGUACAUUUGUGUGACAGUGAUUAAACAUGGUGUUUUUCUCUUAGGUGUCUGAGUAGAUUUGGAAAUGCCCAUUCAGCCCUCAGAGCUCCUCUGCUUUAAGGGUGAUGGACUUCCUGUACCACUACGUAGUGCAUGAGUGCCAGCCACUGGUAUCUAGAACUGUGAUUAGUGAGGAAACACUAGGAGGAACAAACAACCCAACUCUUUUUAUCUAAUCUGUUGACUCCAAAGGGACCUUCUGCUUAUUCCAGUUAAAACUCAAGCUGCAAUUCAAAAUGAAAUCAGUAUCUUUUUUCUCUACUUUUCAGCAAAGCAAGAUGCUACCUUAUAAUUACCACGUAACAAUCAAUCGCAAACAUAGUGGCUUAAAGCAGCUCCUCUUUUAGCCUACAUAUCUGCAAACUGGCAGUCUGGACUGAGCUCAGCUGGAUGUUUUUUCUGAGCUGAUCAUGUAUGUAGGGUCUGCUGCUGGCUGGUUUAGACUGAUGGUGGAUGAGAAACCACAUGAAGAAGAGAGGCAUGAUGGUGGCAGAGUUCUGAAAGAGUCACACAGAAGGGCGUUGAGUUCGUGGCUUGAAAAUAGCAUCCUGUCACUUCUACCACAUUCUAUUUACCAGGCCAGCCCAGAUAAAGAUGUGAAGAAACAGACUCCAUCUCUUGAUGGGAGAAGUUGAAAAUCAAUGGAAAAUGGCAUGGAUAAGGAAAGGAGUGAUGAUUGUGGCCAUAUUUGUAAUGGCCAUAUUUGAUACCCUUUUCAGUUUUCCUAGCCACACUUCUCAUUGGCCAGGAAAAUUAAAUGCAUGUCAACACUGAAGAAAACAGAUCUUGGUUAAAAGCAAUGAUGUAGCUAAUAUCCCGUUCAGGUAAAAGAUUACUUAUAUAGUGUGAGACAGGCAUGAGGCAGAGAAGUGCUUACAGGUUGGUUUCUGCUUUGUUAGCAGAUUUACUUUUAGAUCAUAUACUACUUUGUUUUUACUGUUUUAUUGAGAAAAAAUAACAAAUAUUUCCAAAAUUUUGCAGCAUGCAACUCAGUGCUUCAGUUGGCAUUCAAUCAAAAUUUCCUUGAAAUAAAAAAAGACAAGAGAGAGACUUGGAAUUAUGACUCUUCUACUAGAUUAGCUCCUUCAUGUCAAAAUCUGUCAAGUUUAUGAUUUAUUCAGAUAGCACUUGUUUUUGGUGUAAUAACUAAACUGUUGCUUUAGAGUCUACUACAUUCUCCUCUAUUAUUUGGCAUUUUUCUCUUUAUUAUUUUGUUCAAGUAGGAUAUUGUGCUGAGUUGAACCAUGAAAUGAAUUGUAUUGAGCAACAUCAACAACAUAAAUAUUCUGGGGUGUCAUCUGCAUUUUCAUAUCUGGCUGCUCAAAUUCUUUUUACAGCUAUAGCUUUGAUAAUAAUGUAAUAGCAUAAUGUUUUUCAUUAGAUAUCAAAUCAUAGAAGACAACAAAGAUGUGUUAAGUUAGCAUAGUUUAAUAUAAGGAAACAACAGCAUCAGUAAAAGCAUUGAGCACUAAAUAUCUCUUCCAUUUCAGUUCUUUUACAGGAAGCUUUUGUUACGUGUUGUCAGCACAUUGCUGUGAUGCUCAAGUAUAGCUCUUUAAUGUGAAAACCUGGUAUUUGGGCAUGGCUUGAAGCAGGUGAGAGAGUAACCCAUGCAGAUAUUAGAGGAAAGGAACAAGAGUAGCUGGAAAGAUCCAGAGUUAGGAAGCUUCCUGGUGCCCUCCAGGAGUGGCAAGCUGGUCACUGUGGCAUGAGAAAAUUGAGUUAGGGAAAAAGAAGCAGAUUAGGUCAAAGAGGUGAAAUGGGAGGGAGGUCAUGUAGAUGUUGUAGGCUACUGUGAUGAGUUUGACUUUUACUCUGGAAGACAGGAAGACAACCAUAAAAUUUGGGCCAUUAGAGUGAAAUAAUUUGUCUUUAUUUUAAAAGGAUCACUUUGCCUCCUCUGUUGGAAUAGAAUGUGUAUGUACUGGAGAGUGGUGGUGGAUAGACAGCUAUAAUGGAAGCUGGGAGACAAAUUAGAAAGCAACUGUUUUCUCCCAAAUUCAUUCCCUGCCCUUCCUCUAAUUACAUCUAUAUCUUAGAGGUCUAAUCCUUAAAAAAUAUAUUUCCCAGAUUCCCUUGCUAAUUGGUUUCAAACUAAAUUUAGUCAAAAAGAAGCAUUGUCAUGAAGUUCAGGGCACCAAGAAGGGACAAGCUGGGGCAUUGCUCUCUCUCUCUGAUUGCUUUGGGUUGUGCCUGUGGCAACUGCCACAUGUGCCCCAUGGCCAGUCCCUGCUGGGCAGGCUACUGUGAUUGCCAUUUGUAUUGGGUGAUCUCAGCUUUUGGUUUCCCAUGAUACCAUCUCUAGGGGUAGCAGCUGGCUAUAAUAACUAAUGUCUGGAUUAUCCUAACUCUUCUGUUUGUUCUUUCAGGUAUUUAACAAUGUUGUGACUAAUUGGCUUCCAUUAUUUCCCUAGAGUAGGUUCUGUUAUUACCCUGGAAUAUGUUUGUAAUAGAGUGGGCUAUUACAAUCAUCUAGGAUAAAGAUAAUCGUGGCUUGGAAUAAGGUGGUAGCAAUGGAAGUGAUGAGAAGUCAUUAGAUGCAGAAUAUAUUUUAUAGAUGGAAUGUGAUAAAAUAAAAAAUAAACUGGACUCUGGUUUCCAGCAUAUAGUUCCAAAAGACUGAAAUUGAAAUUUGUGGAGUAAUAGGGUAUCUUUUGUAUGCUAAUGAGAAGAGUGGCGGUUGGGGGCCCCUAGAAAGCUUCAGCAUGAGGGCUAGUCACCAGAAAAACUAUGACAUGAUUAGAGGGCUAGAACUUUCAGCCUCACUCCUUGACCUCUGAGGAGAGAAGACAGGCUAGAGAUUGAGUUCAAUCACCAAUGGCCAAUGAUUUAAUCAAUAUCAUGCCUACAUAACGCAGUCUCCAUAGAAACCCCUAAACCGUGGAUUUCAGAGAGCUUCUGGGUUGGCCAACAUAUCAACAGAGGAGCUGUGAGGUGGGCAAGCCUGAAGAGGGCUUGGAAGGUCCUGUAUCUGCCCCCUUUUCUUUGCUUUAUGCUUCUCUUCCAUGGGCUGUUCCUAAGUUGUAUCUUUUAUAUAGUCAAAAAGAGUUUUGAUAUAGGUUGUAUGAGUGUUAUAAGAUAAAUAAAAGUCAAAAAUGACUCUAGUGUUUUUCCUGAGAAAUUGAAAAUGGCAUAAUUAUUAUUAACUAAGAUGAAAAUAAUGUAAAUAAAGCAAGUCUAUGCUGGGAGAGAUUAGGGGUUCAGUUUUGUACAUGCUGUGUUUAAGAUGCCCAUUAACUACCUAAUUGGAACGUUUAAAUGAUCAGUUGUGUAUAUAUGCAUCUGGAGUCAGAAGUCCAAACUAGAGAUAUAAAUUUAGGAAUCAACAGCUUUUAUUGUUGUCUAUUCAAAGUUAUGAGCCUAGAUGAGAUCAUUCCAGAAAGUGAACAUAUAUAAAAGAGAGAUUACCAAAAGUGAAUGAGGACUCCAUUUACUAUACCUUCAAUUAUUUAAAAUCUUAUAAAUUGGUGCUGUCCAAUAGAACUUCCUGCAGAGACAGAAAUGUUCUAUAUUUGUACUAUCUGAAAUAGUAGCUGUAUUAGUUUUCUAUUUCUACCACAACAAAUUGUCUCAACUAUAGUGGCUUAAACAACAGUAAUUUAUUAUCUUGUAGUUCUGUAGAUCAGAAAUGCACCAUGGUGUCACUGGGCUAAAACCAAGGUGCCAGCAUGGUUGCAUUCCUUUUUGGAGGCUCUGGUGGAGAAUCUGUUUCUUUGACUGAUCUAACUUCUAGAGCCCAUUUGCAUUCCGUGGCUUGUGGCUCCCUACCUGCAUCUUCAAAGCUAGCAAGGCAUGUUGAGUUCUCACAGCUCAUUACCCUGAUCUUUUCUUCUGUCUUCCUCCUCCACUUUAAGUAUCCUUGUGAUUAGAUUGGAACCCUUGUGGAUAAUCCAGGAUAAUCUUCCCAUCUCAAGGCCCUUAACCUUAAUCACAUGUAUAAAGUCCCUUUUGUCAUGUAAAGUAACAUAUCCAUAGGUUCCAGGAUUAGAAUGCAUACAUUUUUGGGAGGCCAUUACUUUGCCUACCAGCAUGAC